GAUGAACGCUGCCGGCGUGCCUAAUACGUGCAAGUCGAGCGAACGGACGAGAAGCUUGCUUCUCUGAUGUUAGCGGCGGACGGGUGAGUAACACGUGGAUAACCUACCUAUAAGACUGGGAUAACUUCGGGAAACCGGAGCUAAUACCGGAUAAUAUUUUGAACCGCAUGGUUCAAAAGUGAAAGACGGUCUUGCUGUCACUUAUAGAUGGAUCCGCGCUGCAUUAGCUAGUUGGUAAGGUAACGGCUUACCAAGGCAACGAUGCAUAGCCGACCUGAGAGGGUGAUCGGCCACACUGGAACUGAGACACGGUCCAGACUCCUACGGGAGGCAGCAGUAGGGAAUCUUCCGCAAUGGGCGAAAGCCUGACGGAGCAACGCCGCGUGAAUGAUGAAGGUCUUCGGAUCGUAAAACUCUGUUAUUAGGGAAGAACAUAUGUGUAAGUAACUGUGCACAUCUUGACGGUACCUAAUCAGAAAGCCACGGCUAACUACGUG
RNAcentral lists this ribosomal RNA (497 nucleotides) under uncultured bacterium. RNAcentral describes it as "partial 16S ribosomal RNA". It matches the Rfam family "Bacterial small subunit ribosomal RNA", at positions 28 to 507 of the family's 1533-position model. The record is from RNAcentral.